CGGACGGGUGAGUAACGCGUGGGUAACCUGCCUUAUACAGGGGGAUAACAGUUAGAAAUGACUGCUAAUACCGCAUAAGCGCACAGGAUUGCAUGAUCUGGUGUGAAAAACUCCGGUGGUAUAAGAUGGACCCGCGUCUGAUUAGCUGGUUGGUGAGGUAACGGCCCACCAAGGCGACGAUCAGUAGCCGACCUGAGAGGGUGACCGGCCACAUUGGGACUGAGACACGGCCCAAACUCCUACGGGAGGCCAGCAUG
RNAcentral lists this ribosomal RNA (257 nucleotides) under uncultured bacterium. Its description in RNAcentral is "partial 16S ribosomal RNA". It matches the Rfam family "Bacterial small subunit ribosomal RNA", at positions 99 to 349 of the family's 1533-position model. The record is from RNAcentral.